CUACGGGUUGCUCCAGUGAGGAGUAUUGCACAAUGGGGGGAACCCUGAUGCAGCAACGCCGCGUGGAGGAUGACGCAUUUCGGUGUGUAAACUCCUUUUAUAUGUCAAGAAAAUGACGGUAGCAUAUGAAUAAGCACCGGCUAACUCCGUGCCAGCAGCCGCGGUAAUACGGAGGGUGCAAGCGUUACUCGGAAUCACUGGGCGUAAAGGACGCGUAGGCGGGUUGGAAAGUCAGGUGUGAAAUCCUACAGCUUAACUGUAGAACUGCACUUGAAACUUCUAGUCUAGAGUAUGGGAGGGGGAGAUGGAAUUAGUGGUGUAGGGGUAAAAUCCGUAGAUAUCACUAGGAAUACCUAAAGCGAAGGCGAUCUCCUGGAACAUUACUGACGCUAAGGCGUGAAAGCGUGGGGAGCAAACAGGAUUAGAUACCCCUGUAGUC
RNAcentral lists this ribosomal RNA (439 nucleotides) under uncultured bacterium. Its description in RNAcentral is "partial 16S ribosomal RNA". It matches the Rfam family "Bacterial small subunit ribosomal RNA", at positions 339 to 795 of the family's 1533-position model. The record is from RNAcentral.